UACGAAGGGGGCUAGCGUUGCUCGGAAUCACUGGGCGUAAAGCGCACGUAGGCGGCUUUCUAAGUCAGGGGUGAAAUCCUGGAGCUCAACUCCAGAACUGCCUUUGAUACUGGAGAGCUAGAGUCCGGAAGAGGUGAGUGGAACUGCGAGUGUAGAGGUGAAAUUCGUAGAUAUUCGCAAGAACACCAGUGGCGAAGGCGGCUCACUGGUCCGGUACUGACGCUGAGACGCGAAAGCGUGGGGAGCAAACAGG
This 253-nucleotide ribosomal RNA is filed under the name uncultured bacterium. RNAcentral's name for it is "partial 16S ribosomal RNA". It matches the Rfam family "Bacterial small subunit ribosomal RNA", at positions 524 to 776 of the family's 1533-position model. The record is from RNAcentral.